GACGAACGCUGGCGGCGUGCUUAACACAUGCAAGUCGAACGGAAAGGCCCUGCUUUUGUGGGGUGCUCGAGUGGCGAACGGGUGAGUAACACGUGAGUAACCUGCCCUUGACUUUGGGAUAACUUCAGGAAACUGGGGCUAAUACCGGAUAGGAGCUCCUGCUGCAUGGUGGGGGUUGGAAAGUUUCGGCGGUUGGGGAUGGACUCGCGGCUUAUCAGCUUGUUGGUGGGGUAGUGGCUUACCAAGGCUUUGACGGGUAGCCGGCCUGAGAGGGUGACCGGCCACAUUGGGACUGAGAUACGGCCCAGACUCCAACGGGGGGCAGCAGUGGGAAAUAUUGCACAAUGGGCGGAAGCCUGAUGCAGCAACGCCGCGUGCGGGAUGACGGCCUUCGGGUUGUAAACCGCUUUCGCCUGUGACGAAGCGUGAGUGACGGUAAUGGGUAAAGAAGCACCGGCUAACUACGUG
RNAcentral lists this ribosomal RNA (468 nucleotides) under uncultured bacterium. RNAcentral describes it as "partial 16S ribosomal RNA". It matches the Rfam family "Bacterial small subunit ribosomal RNA", at positions 28 to 507 of the family's 1533-position model. The record is from RNAcentral.